CCGCGGCGAUUGGGCGGAGAGCAGGUCAGGGCACCCGAGGGACCCGCCCCGCCCGGCUCAUCCCUGUCCCCAGCCUGAAUCCUGGCACGUGCUCCGCACUCCCCUGACCUGGCCCCCGGAAUGGAGCCCUGCGGGGGCACAGCGACCUCGGUGGUGCCCCACCCUGGAAGUGACAGUGGGGAAGCUGAGGUCUGGACGUCGCCCUUGGGAACCCAACUACACCUAAGUGGAUUCUGUAGUCCUUCACUUAAAUAAUGGGCUAGCCUCUGGAGGGUCUUACCUGUCUUCAGACCUGACCUCUGUGAGCUGUCCCCCAACUGCUGUGUAAGAAACAAAGCUGGGCAAGCGCCUCCCCGCUGACAAUCCUGGAGACCCUACAAGGACUGGUCCCUGCCUUCAGCCUCAUCGCCACCACCAUUCCCCACAUAUCCCUCUAGCGCUCCUCUGGGUGGGCAUCUUGGACUUCGUGCUGUUUCUUUGCCCCUGUCCCUGCUCCACGCCUCACCUCCUACCCUGGUUUCUACAAGCCCAGCUGAAGGGUUCCAGAGCCGGAAGCCGUUGUUGCAUAGCACAGGUGCCCUGCUGCGUCAUACUGGAGUCUUCGACAAUGGGAUGUUGCACAGCCAAUGAGGAGCCAGAGAACAAAAACAGGCAGCCGUGUGAUAGCGAGAUCUUCAUAAAACCUGUUCCUGAAGGCAGACAGCAGAGCAUUCCACAGUUUAUUUAUUGGCUGCAGUGCCUCCCUCCCUCCCUCCUCUUCUAUUCCUUCCUCCAGCUCUGUUAGAUAUUUGCAAUUCAUUUGUAUCUGAUGUUCUCUCUGAAACAACCACUGAAAUAAGAUGAGAUUCCUUUUUUCUCUUGCCAGGUCAACAUUCCAGUAUCCUGUUUUUUUCCUAACAGAGCACAGUUAUGAAUGCUAUGUAACAAUAUAAUUUAACAUUCAUGCCAG
This 949-nucleotide long non-coding RNA is filed under the name Fukomys damarensis (Damara mole-rat). RNAcentral describes it as "lncRNA (ENSFDAG00000032974.1)". The record is from RNAcentral. Lineage: Eukaryota; Metazoa; Chordata; Mammalia; Rodentia; Bathyergidae.